UCACCAGGAAAGUAUGCCAUUCCUGAGUCGACAGAUAUGUAGCUGCUGCUUCUGUUUAAUUAUCAUGGGCUGCCCUGCCAGAAGCACUGGCCCACAAUGUCCUUCAGCUUUCCAUUGCUGUAUGCAAAGCAGGAGCCUCAUGCUGCUUUGAACGGGGUGUUAUUACAGCCGCUGCACGGACUGAAGUGCAGAGUAGCAAUGGCUUUGGCUCUUUGCUGAUGAAGAGGAACUGAUUUUGGCAGGAUACUCCUUGUUACACUGGACUGCUUCCCAGCCUCCUGUAGGUUUUGGAAAGUGUCCCGUUCAGCUGCCAUGUGGAAGGCUUUGAACUUUAAAUGGGAACAGGCGCAGUGCAGCUGAGGGGGAGUGGGGGGGGGUGGUGCUGGCAGUCCUCCCUCCUCUCCUUCCCUCCCCAGUGCCACCUCAGGAAGCUAUCCUGCAGCUCUGGAGCCUUGGGGGAGGCUGCAAGGAAAUGUUCUACACAACGGGAAUGUGUCCUGAAUCAACAGGUGUGAUGCUUGCAUAGUGCCUGACCUAAAGAGAUGAAGAAGUACCCUGUGGUAUGGUCAGUGUUGCCAUUGAUGCACCCUGUGCUGUCCUUACCUGCCACAGUGUGUUUCAGAAGAUCUCCUCAUGGGCCUAAGGAGCUGCAGGAAGUUGUUGGUGCGCUGCAGCAUGGCAAGCUGCUUUCUCCACUUCCUUCCUUGCACUAUUGUGUAAAGUUGUAGUCAACAGCAUAGAAGAAAAACAGAAUGCAUAUUUUUUCAUCUUUCUUUCAAAAGGCCUCACUGGGCUUGUUCUUUGAUGCGGCAGGACUGUGCUUCGGUUAUACUGCCUCAGUACUGCUCCUGGUACUCAGCACCCCAGCUGGGGAGGUACAGCCAUCCUGUCCACCCUCCAGCAUUCCCUGGGAUGGAUAUCAGAAAGGCAGAUUUCAGAAGGGAUAGAGAAAGCAUGCCAUCAGCUCACAUGGGGAUUUCUCAUUCAGAUGUGCCUUCAACAAAGAAGCUCAGACAUCAUGGGGCUCAGGUCCACGAUGCUAGUGGGCUUGUAGGUUUUGGAACAUUCAGGAUAAGAACUUUUUCCUUUAUGGAAUGCAUCAGGAAGAGAGAAGAACCUCACUUGGGUGGGGUACAAAUGGAGCAAUUUAAGAGCAGCUACUUUUACAAUACUUAUACUUUUGAGAAAUAAAUUCUUUCCGUUAUGUUUAAACGCCAGCUUGGUUCUCUUGGGCAGCAAAAUGCCUUCUGGCUGAAAUGCUGGACUGUACACAGAAGUGGGCUAAUUUACUGACGGGAGACACUAAUAUUUAAAAACUGAUCUUGAGGAAUGUAAUCAAGUUAACUGACACAAGAAUAGCACAAGAAAUAUGGCUUAUCUUGUCUUUUCCUUCAGUAAUGUGGAAAAAAGAAGUAAAUACAAGACACCUUUUGACA
Lagopus leucura (white-tailed ptarmigan) is the source of this 1436-nucleotide long non-coding RNA. RefSeq lists it as uncharacterized. The record is from RefSeq and is a predicted model, not a curated record. Lineage: Eukaryota; Metazoa; Chordata; Aves; Galliformes; Phasianidae. The transcript has 3 exons.